RNAcentral lists this ribosomal RNA (263 nucleotides) under uncultured bacterium. Its description in RNAcentral is "partial 16S ribosomal RNA". It matches the Rfam family "Bacterial small subunit ribosomal RNA", at positions 524 to 786 of the family's 1533-position model. The record is from RNAcentral.
UACGUAGGGAGCGAGCGUUAUCCGGAUUUACUGGGUGUAAAGGGCGCGUAGGCGGGAAUGCAAGUCAGAUGUGAAAUCUCCGGGCUCAACCCGGAAACUGCAUUUGAAACUGUAUUUCUUGAGUGAUGGAGAGGCAAGCGGAAUUCCUAGUGUAGCGGUGAAAUGCGUAGAUAUUAGGAGGAACACCAGUGGCGAAGGCGGCUUGCUGGACAUUAACUGACGCUGAGGCGCGAAAGCGUGGGGAGCAAACAGGAUUAGAUACC